GGGGAUAUGGCGUAAUGGUAGCGCAUUCGGCUCCAAACCGAAAGGUUGUAGGUUCGAGUCCUGCUAUCCUCA
Molecule: transfer RNA, 72 nt
Filed under: Anaeramoeba flamelloides
Lineage: Eukaryota; Anaeramoebidae
Description: tRNA-Trp
Rfam family: tRNA
About the family: Transfer RNA (tRNA) molecules are approximately 80 nucleotides in length. Their secondary structure includes four short double-helical elements and three loops (D, anti-codon, and T loops).
Source: RNAcentral